This is a long non-coding RNA of Tympanuchus pallidicinctus (lesser prairie-chicken), 95 nucleotides long. RefSeq lists it as uncharacterized. The record is from RefSeq and is a predicted model, not a curated record. Lineage: Eukaryota; Metazoa; Chordata; Aves; Galliformes; Phasianidae. The transcript has 3 exons.
GAACGCUGUGUACGUGCUAAGUAAGGAGCAGCUCAAGGAUCUGAUUCCAGCUCCCAAGAGAGAUGAAGCUAAGACAACUGGAUACUCACGCACAG